Molecule: ribosomal RNA, 218 nt
Filed under: uncultured bacterium
Lineage: Bacteria
Description: partial 16S ribosomal RNA
Rfam family: Bacterial small subunit ribosomal RNA
Source: RNAcentral
ACGCUCGACACCGAGGCAGCAGUAGGGAAUCUUCCACAAUGGGCGCAAGCCUGAUGGAGCAACACCGCGUGAGUGAAGAAGGGUUUCGGCUCGUAAAGCUCUGUUGUUGGAGAAGAACGUGCGUGAGAGUAACUGUUCACGCAGUGACGGUAUCCAACCAGAAAGUCACGGCUAACUACGUGUCAGCAGCCGCGGUAAUCUGAGCGGGCUGGCAAGGC